GUGCUCACUUCGGCAGCAUAUAUACUAAAAUUGGAAUGAUACAGAGAUUAGUAUGGCUACUGCAAAAAAAUGACAUGCAAAUCUGUGACGUGUUCCAUAUUUAA
Suncus etruscus (white-toothed pygmy shrew) is the source of this 104-nucleotide small nuclear RNA. NCBI's taxonomy places the organism in Eukaryota, Metazoa, Chordata, Mammalia, Eulipotyphla, Soricidae. The record is from RefSeq and is a predicted model, not a curated record.